Molecule: non-coding RNA, 467 nt
Organism: Kogia breviceps (pygmy sperm whale)
Lineage: Eukaryota; Metazoa; Chordata; Mammalia; Artiodactyla; Physeteridae
Source: RefSeq, a predicted model, not a curated record
CCCUGCGGUGGCCCUUCCAGCCUCAGCCACUACCCACCGAGUACCCAUGGUUGACCCUUGUUUAGUCUUUACUACUUAAGAUUGUGCCCUGCAAGAGCUCCUGUCUUACUGUGGAUAACAUCUGCAAGUAUCUACAGACAUAGUUACAGUUAAGCAAAAAAAGCCUUGAGGAGGGGCGGGCCUCUCCUUGUAUUUCCUUCCAUGGCAGGAGCUCUGGCCUUGCUCUGCCCAGAGGCCAGCUAUCCCUGAUGGGCACAAAGAUUCAGGCUGGGCCUCUGGGCGCAAGAGCGGGUCUCAUCACCUGCUACCUCCGCGCCUCCGAAGCUUCACCUCCCACUGUCUCUGGCUGGGACUUCCGUCUGUAUUUCUAGCCCUUGAGAAUUUUCCACUCUUUCCUAUAAGUUUGACUGUAUAUACUUUUUAAUUAAUUAAUUAAAUCAUUUUUUUAAAAUUGAAGUAUAGUUAAU